RNAcentral lists this ribosomal RNA (513 nucleotides) under uncultured bacterium. RNAcentral's name for it is "partial 16S ribosomal RNA". It matches the Rfam family "Bacterial small subunit ribosomal RNA", at positions 28 to 523 of the family's 1533-position model. The record is from RNAcentral.
GAUGAACGCUGGCGGCGUGCCUAAUACAUGCAAGUCGAACGCACAGCGAAAGGUGCUUGCACCUUUCAAGUGAGUGGCGAACGGGUGAGUAACACGUGGACAACCUGCCUCAAGGCUGGGGAUAACAUUUGGAAACAGAUGCUAAUACCGAAUAAAACUUAGUGUCGCACGACACAAAGUUAAAAGGCGCUUCGGCGUCACCUAGAGAUGGAUCCGCGGUGCAUUAGUUAGUUGGUGGGGUAAAGGCCUACCAAGACAAUGAUGCAUAGCCGGGUUGAGAGACGGAUCGGCCACAUUGGGACUGAGACACGGCCCAAACUCCUACGGGAGGCUGCAGUAGGGAAUCUUCCACAAUGGGCGAAAGCCUGAUGGAGCAACGCCGCGUGUGUGAUGAAGGCUUUCGGGUCGUAAAGCACUGUUGUAUGGGAAGAACAGCUAGAAUAGGGAAUGAUUUUAGUUUGACGGUACCAUACCAGAAAGGGACGGCUAAAUACGUGCCAGCCGCCGCCGUAA